GUUGUAAUGAAUACACAUAAGCUGUGACUCUAGUAAAUUUGAAUUGGUAAUAUAUAUUGCUUUCUGAGGCGUUGCGUACAUUGACCUAUUAAUGUCUGAUGGACGUGUCAAGGAAAGCAUAGAAUGAUAUCAAUCCAAAGUCCUUUAGUGAUUUAAGUAAACUGGUUUUUUUUAUCUAGUUUGCUUGAUAGUUGGAUUGCAACAUUUAAUUAUCAAAAUUCCGUCCGUCUUGUGG
Molecule: unclassified non-coding RNA, 235 nt
Filed under: Hevea brasiliensis (rubber tree)
Lineage: Eukaryota; Viridiplantae; Streptophyta; Magnoliopsida; Malpighiales; Euphorbiaceae
Source: RNAcentral